AACGAACGCUGGCGGCAUGCCUAACACAUGCAAGUCGAACGAGACCUUCGGGUCUAGUGGCGCACGGGUGCGUAACGCGUGGGAACCUGCCCUUAGGUUCGGAAUAACUCCCCGAAAGGGGUGCUAAUACCGGAUAAUGUCUUCGGACCAAAGAUUUAUGGCCUUUGGAUGGGCCCGCGUUGGAUUAGCUAGUUGGUAGGGUAAAAGCCUACCAAGGCGACGAUGCAUAGCUGGUCUGAGAGGAUGAUCAGCCACACUGGGACUGAGACACGGCCCAGACUCCUACGGGAGGCAGCAGUGGGGAAUAUUGGACAAUGGGCGAAAGCCUGAUCCAGCAAUGCCGCGUGAGUGAUGAAGGCCUUAGGGUUGUAAAGCUCUUUUACCCGGGAUGAUAAUGACAGUACCGGGAGAAUAAGCUCCGGCUAACUCCGUG
Molecule: ribosomal RNA, 433 nt
Filed under: uncultured bacterium
Lineage: Bacteria
Description: partial 16S ribosomal RNA
Rfam family: Bacterial small subunit ribosomal RNA
Source: RNAcentral